RNAcentral lists this ribosomal RNA (427 nucleotides) under uncultured Chlamydiae bacterium. RNAcentral describes it as "bacterial SSU rRNA". It matches the Rfam family "Bacterial small subunit ribosomal RNA", at positions 958 to 1385 of the family's 1533-position model. The record is from RNAcentral. Lineage: Bacteria; Pseudomonadati; Chlamydiota; Chlamydiia.
AACGCGAAGAACCUUACCCAGACUUGACAUACAGUGGAAGUUAGCAGAAAUGUUAACGCUCUUCGGAGCCGCUGAACAGGUGCUGCAUGGCUGUCGUCAGCUCGUGCCGUGAGGUGUUGGGUUAAGUCCCGCAACGAGCGCAACCCUUAUCGUUAGUUGCCAACAGGUAAUGCUGGGAACUCUAGCGAGACUGCCUGGGUUAACCAGGAGGAAGGUGAGGAUGACGUCAAGUCCGCAUGGCCCUUAUGUCUGGGGCUACACACGUGCUACAAUGGCCGGUACAGAAGGCAGCGAAGCCGCGAGGUGAAGCAAAUCCCAAAAGCCGGCCCCAGUUCAGAUUGUAGUCUGCAACUCGACUACAUGAAGACGGAAUUGCUAGUAAUGGCAGGUCAGCAACACUGCCGUGAAUACGUUCCCGGGCCUUGUA